AUUGAACGCUGGCGGCAGGCUUAACACAUGCAAGCCGAGCGGGGAAGGGUAGCUUGCUACCUAACCUAGCGGCGGACGGGUGAGUAAUGCUUAGGAAUCUGCCAUUUAGUGGGGGACAACAUUCCGAAAGGAAUGCUAAUACCGCAUACGUCCUACGGGAGAAAGCAGGGGAUCUUCGGACCUUGCGCUAAAUGAUGAGCCUAAGUCGGAUUAGCUAGUUGGUGGGGUAAAGGCCUACCAAGGCGACGAGCUGUAGCGGGUCUGAGAGGAUGAUCCGCCACACUGGGACUGGGACACGGCCCGGACUCCUACGGGAGGCAGCAGUGGGGAAUAUUGGACAAUGGGCGGAAGCCUGAUCCAGCCAUGCCGCGUGUGUGAAGAAGGCCUUAUGGUUGUAAAGCACUUUAGGCGAGGAGGAGGCUACUUAGAUUAAUACUCUAGGAUAGUGGACGUUACUCGCAGAAUAAGCACCGGCUAACUCUGUGCCAGCCGCCGCUGUAA
Molecule: ribosomal RNA, 501 nt
Filed under: uncultured bacterium
Lineage: Bacteria
Description: partial 16S ribosomal RNA
Rfam family: Bacterial small subunit ribosomal RNA
Source: RNAcentral